GUGUCAGCCGCCGCGGUAAUACGUAGGAUGCGAGCGUUGUCCGGAAUUAUUGGGCGUAAAGCGAACGUAGGCGGCCUGGUAAGUUUGGUCUUAAAGACCGGGGCUCAACCCCGGGAAUGGACCGAAUACUGUCAGGCUGGAGUACGCUAGAGGAUGGUGGAAUUCCAAGUGUAGCGGUGAAAUGCGUAGAUAUUUGGAGGAACACCGGUGGCGAAAGCGACCAUCUGGGGCGUUACUGACGCUGAGGUUCGAAAGCUCGGGGAGCAAACAGGAUUAGAUACCCUGGUAGUCCGAGCCGUAAACGAUGGAUACUGGGUGUGGGGGGUAUCGACCCCCUCCGUGCCGUAGCUAACGCGUUAAGUAUCCCGCCUGGGGAGUACGGUCGCAAGACUGAA
Molecule: ribosomal RNA, 395 nt
Filed under: uncultured bacterium
Lineage: Bacteria
Description: bacterial SSU rRNA
Rfam family: Bacterial small subunit ribosomal RNA
Source: RNAcentral